AUUCAAGAUCCAUGCAUGCAGUUGUUGAA
This 29-nucleotide non-coding RNA is filed under the name Homo sapiens (human). Lineage: Eukaryota; Metazoa; Chordata; Mammalia; Primates; Hominidae. The record is from RNAcentral.